This 428-nucleotide ribosomal RNA is filed under the name uncultured bacterium. Its description in RNAcentral is "bacterial SSU rRNA". It matches the Rfam family "Bacterial small subunit ribosomal RNA", at positions 28 to 438 of the family's 1533-position model. The record is from RNAcentral.
GAUGAACGCUGGCGGCGUGCUUAACACAUGCAAGUCGAGCGAAGCACUUACCAUUGACUCUUCGGAAGAUUUGGUAAAUGACUGAGCGGCGGACGGGUGAGUAACGCGUGGGUAACCUGCCUCAUACAGGGGAAUAACAGUUAGAAAUGGCUGCUAAUGCCGCAUAAGCGCACAGUACCGCAUGGUACGGUGUGAAAAACCGAGGUGGUAUGAGAUGGACCCGCGUCUGAUUAGGUAGUUGGUGGGGUAACGGCCUACCAAGCCGACGAUCAGUAGCCGGCCUGAGAGGGUGAACGGCCACAUUGGGACUGAGACACGGCCCAGACUCCUACGGGAGGCAGCAGUGGGGAAUAUUGCACAAUGGGGGAAACCCUGAUGCAGCGACGCCGCGUGAAGGAAGAAGUAUCUCGGUAUGUAAACUUCUAUCA